Molecule: ribosomal RNA, 659 nt
Filed under: Calanus helgolandicus
Lineage: Eukaryota; Metazoa; Arthropoda; Copepoda; Calanoida; Calanidae
Description: eukaryotic LSU rRNA
Rfam family: Eukaryotic large subunit ribosomal RNA
Source: RNAcentral
UGGCGAUGAACGGGAACAGGGCAUCGCGGACUGCAGGUCAUCUUGGCCUCGCGGAAUGUCGCGUUCGGGAGAGUCUUCUCGAGGACCGGACGGCCAGUCAAAGUCCAACUUGACAGUGGCCACUGCCCAUAGAGGGUGAUAGGCCCGUAAGGCGGCUGUCCGUUUUCGCUGACUUUUUCCCUAGAGUCGGGUUGCUUGGGAGUGCAGCCCAAAGUGCGAGGUAAACUCCUCGUAACCCUAAAUAUGACCCCGAGACCGAUAGCAAACAAGUACGGUGACGGAAGAUUGAAAAGAACUUUGAAGAGAGAGUUCAAUAGUACGUGAAACUGUGUGGUGGUAAACGCAGGGGUUCUCGAAGUUUCUGUGGGGAACUCAGCCUUGGUGUCGCGUGGCCCUGUUGUAUCUGAUCAGCAAUGACAGUGCGGCUUGGCCGACGUGUCUCUCGGGUGCAUUUCCCCCGCAGUUUACGGCAGGAACUGUUUGGAGCGCACCGAAGGCCUCGGGUGAAGUUGUUGGUUCUGCCGGCAGCCCUGGGUGUCCUGGCUUCGCACCAGACAGGUACGUGAGAGGACUCGUAUAGCGAGCAAUGCUCUGUUGCGGUUCUCAUCUCUCUGCCGAGUAGGUCGGCGGCCCCUGCGACCCGUCUUGAAACACGGACC